This 501-nucleotide ribosomal RNA is filed under the name uncultured bacterium. RNAcentral's name for it is "partial 16S ribosomal RNA". It matches the Rfam family "Bacterial small subunit ribosomal RNA", at positions 30 to 523 of the family's 1533-position model. The record is from RNAcentral.
AUUGAACGCUGGCGGCAGGCUUAACACAUGCAAGUCGAGCGGGGAAGAGUAGCAUGCUACCUUACCUAGCGGCGGACGGGUGAGUAAUGCUUAGGAAUCUGCCUAUUAGUGGGGGACAACAUCUCGAAAGGGAUGCUAAUACCGCAUACGUCCUACGGGAGAAAGCAGGGGACCUUCGGGCCUUGCGCUAAUAGAUGAGCAUAAGUCGGAUUAGCUAGUUGGUGGGGUAAAGGCCUACCAAGGCGACGAUCUGUAGCGGGUCUGAGAGGAUGAUCCGCCACACUGGGACUGGGACACGGCCCAGGCUCCUGCGGGAGGCAGCAGUGGGGAAUAUUGGACAAUGGGGGGAACCCUGGUCAAGCCAUGCCGCGUGUGUGAAGAAUGCCUUUUGGUUGUAAAGCACUUUAAGCGAGGAGGAGGCUACCGAGAUUAAUACUCUUGGAUAGUGGACGUUACUCGCAGAAUAAGCACCGGCUAACUCUGUGCCAGCAGCCGCAGUAA